Long non-coding RNA from Ruditapes philippinarum (Manila clam), 1585 nucleotides. RefSeq lists it as uncharacterized. The record is from RefSeq and is a predicted model, not a curated record. The transcript has 3 exons. NCBI's taxonomy places the organism in Eukaryota, Metazoa, Mollusca, Bivalvia, Venerida, Veneridae.
CAAAAUAUGUUACGUCAUCAUGGAAUAAAAAAGUUUUUUAGAUUUAAUAUUAUUUAUCUUUUAUUAAUUAAUUAGCACGCUAAAAUAUUGAUGAGAGUAUAGCUCAGUGGAUUAUGUUGUGGCCUUACAAUCAAACAAAUCGAGCUCGUAUCCUGUCUGAUACCAAUUUUUUUUAUAUCUGUUUUUUAUUUAUUUUUUGUCAUGCAUAGGAUCUGAAAUCCCUCUGCUCGGAUUAUUUUUGGGAGAACACUUAUCAAGUCACAAAACAGAUAUUUCAAGAGAUACUGACUAUGAUUAUUCAGAAGUGGAAAAAUGUGACACUUGCAACGACGGCACUGCGGGACCACGUACUUCUCGCACAAAAGACAUGCAUGCGCGGUGUUUAGUUGAUGCGGGAUUCGCACAUCUAAAGGCAUGAUUUAGAAACACUUCAACAGCUGGCCGAUGUAACAGAGAAGUCAUCUACAACAAACAGCCGGUAUGUUACCCCAAGCGGUCAUGGCGGCAAUGGAAACCUGUUCUUGGGGGAUUUUCAAACCAAUUAUUGGUAUAAGAUAGAAUAUCCUGCACUUCCGGUUCCAGUCGAACACACCGGGUGUGGUUAUGGCCAAAGUAACACCUGAAGGCGAGGAAUAUAAGAUUCAAGUCUUGAAAGAACACGGAUUCCGGUUCAGUUCAUGUGUCCGUCCGAGCGUUAUUACGCCAGUAGGAAUGUCAGCAGUGUCGCGAAGUGUGCGUGCGUUCGUCAGUCAAGACAGUUAAUCAUAUUAUCAGUGCACUGUUACAACAGCUUAGUGCAGAUUUAAAUAGUCUGGCUGUUUGAUGGAUGUUAACAACACGAAAUGAAUAACUUCAAAUAUAUUUACGAGGCAGAAAAGUUCAAUGUUUCUAUUUAAAUAUCAAUUGUUGUUAAAGCACGGCCAUUGUUUCUGUUAUAAAGAAAAAUAGAACUUAUUAUUACUGUCUAUGUUUUUUAUAAACGUUAAACGUAGACUUAUAUACUGUUGUUGAUUUAUUACUUUGGGUAUAUACCUAAAAAAUUGUCUGAUUUCAAUAGAUGCGACCCGUGCAUACUAAAACCCACCAACACACCUGUGCCUUCUGACCGUGGUCUGCAUGCAUUAUUUCUUUUUUAAGCAGAAUAUAGUCUGAAAAUUUCCCGUAAAGAUGUUAUAAUUAAAGGUAUAUAGUGUGGUAAUGGUUGAAAAAAAACAACAAUUAUUUGCGCCAUGUAUGACUCGCUUAUGGGUGUUGUUAUAACGUUGCUAAGCAACGCUAAAAAUCGCAAUAAGCGGGAAGUCUAUAGUUUACAUAACUUCAUUACUAACUUAUUUACAGCUUAAACAUACUAAUGGAGUGAAGUUAAGAUUCAAAUAUAAUUGCCGUUUUAAAUAUUGCAAUUAACAACGUUAAACGUCAAUUUAAUUUUUCGACGUCAUUUAUUUACAAAGUGAUCAAAUAUAUGACGUUCUUUAAAUAAGUAUAUCUCAAUAACUAACUCUUUGAUUUUAAAACAGUUUUCACCGUCAUAUUCAGAAAGAAAUUCUCUGCAAUAAUAAGUGAAAAACCAAAUUUCGAAAAAAAU